RNAcentral lists this ribosomal RNA (467 nucleotides) under uncultured bacterium. Its description in RNAcentral is "partial 16S ribosomal RNA". It matches the Rfam family "Bacterial small subunit ribosomal RNA", at positions 28 to 507 of the family's 1533-position model. The record is from RNAcentral.
GAUGAACGCCGACAGAAUGCUUAACACAUGCAAGUCAACUUGAAUUUGGGUUUUUAACUUAGGUUUGGGUGGCGGACAGGUGAGUAACGCGUAAAGAACUUGCCUCACAGCUAGGGACAACAUUUGGAAACGAAUGCUAAUACCUAAUAUUAUGAUAAUAGGGCAUCCUAUAAUUAUGAAAGCUAUAAGCGCUGUGAGAGAGCUUUGCGUCCCAUUAGCUAGUUGGAGAGGUAACGGCUCACCAAGGCGAUGAUGGGUAGCCGGCCUGAGAGGGUGAUCGGCCACAAGGGGACUGAGACACGGCCCUUACUCCUACGGGAGGCAGCAUUGGGGAAUAUUGGACAAUGGACCGAGAGUCUGAUCCAGCAAUUCUGUGUGCACGAUGAAGUUUUUCGGAAUGUAAAGUGCUUUCAGUUGGGAAGAAACAAAUGACGGUACCAACAGAAGAAGUGACGGCUAAAUACGUG